GGAAAUGUGGCUCAGCGAUAGAGCACUUGCCUUGCAAGCAUGAGGCCCUGGGUUCGAUUCCCAGCACUGCAU
This 72-nucleotide transfer RNA is filed under the name Leptotrombidium deliense. RNAcentral's name for it is "tRNA-Ala for anticodon UGC". It matches the Rfam family "tRNA". Rfam says of the family: Transfer RNA (tRNA) molecules are approximately 80 nucleotides in length. Their secondary structure includes four short double-helical elements and three loops (D, anti-codon, and T loops). Further hydrogen bonds mediate the characteristic L-shaped molecular structure. tRNAs have two regions of fundamental functional importance: the anti-codon, which is responsible for specific mRNA codon recognition, and the 3' end, to which the tRNAs corresponding amino acid is attached (by aminoacyl-tRNA synthetases). tRNAs cope with the degeneracy of the genetic code in two manners: having more than one tRNA (with a specific anti-codon) for a particular amino acid; and 'wobble' base-pairing, i.e. permitting non-standard base-pairing at the 3rd anti-codon position. Lineage: Eukaryota; Metazoa; Arthropoda; Arachnida; Trombidiformes; Trombiculidae. The record is from Rfam by way of RNAcentral.